Molecule: non-coding RNA, 107 nt
Organism: Acanthosepion pharaonis
Lineage: Eukaryota; Metazoa; Mollusca; Cephalopoda; Sepiida; Sepiidae
Source: the annotation of a GenBank genome assembly
UAUGGCCACACCAUUUUGAAAUACCAGUUCCCAUCAGAACACUAAAAUUAAGCAAUGUCAAGCCUGGUCAGAACCUAGAAGGGUGACCAUUUGGGAAUACCAGCUUG